UGGGGAAUAUUGCACAAUGGGGGAAACCCUGAUGCAGCGACGCCGCGUGAACGAAGAAGGUAUUCGUAUCGUAAAGUUCUGUCCUAUGGGAAGAUAAUGACAGUACCAUAGAAGAAAGCUCCGGCUAAAUACGUGCCAGCAGCCGCGGUAAUACGUAUGGAGCGAGCGUUGUCCGGAAUUAUUGGGCGUAAAGGGUACGCAGGCGGUUUAAUAAGUCGAAUGUUAAAGAUCGGGGCUCAACCCCGUAAAGCAUUGGAAACUGAUAGACUUGAGUAGUGGAGAGGAAAGUGGAAUUCCGAGUGUAGUGGUGAAAUACGUAGAUAUUAGGAGGAAUACCAGUAGCGAAGGCGACUUUCUGGACACAAACUGACGCUGAGGUACGAAAGCGUGGGGAGCAAACAGG
RNAcentral lists this ribosomal RNA (403 nucleotides) under Actinomycetes bacterium. RNAcentral's name for it is "Actinobacteria bacterium partial 16S ribosomal RNA". It matches the Rfam family "Bacterial small subunit ribosomal RNA", at positions 355 to 776 of the family's 1533-position model. The record is from RNAcentral. Lineage: Bacteria; Bacillati; Actinomycetota; Actinomycetes.